Molecule: long non-coding RNA, 208 nt
Organism: Danio aesculapii
Lineage: Eukaryota; Metazoa; Chordata; Actinopteri; Cypriniformes; Danionidae
Exons: 3
Source: RefSeq, a predicted model, not a curated record
CAAAUGCAGGUGUUGCCAUGGAAACGGGGCAACAGCACUCAUUCUGUCAGGCAGCAAAACUGUUUCUCACUGCUGUUUUCACGGCUUUUAGUGCCUUUGGGAAAAGUCCGUUAGCAUCUUCUCAACUGUUUUCAGACAAGUAAGCCCAGAAGUUUAGACUCCUACCAAAGAGAGAGAUGAUAGGACAACUGUGAAAGUCAGGAGGGAG